UCUGUUUGAUCCUGGCAGAGGUUGCUGCUAUCGAGGUUCGACUAAGCCAUGCGAGUCGAAUGUAGCAAUACAUGGCGAACUGCUCAGUAACACGUGGACAACCUGCCCUUAGGUUGGGUAUAAACCCGGGAAACUGGGUAUAAUACCCGAUAGGUCUCGAUUGCUGGAAUGCAUCGAGAUUUAAAGCUCCGGCGCCUAAGGAUGGGUCUGCGGCCUAUCAGGUAGUAGUGGGCGUAGCGUACCUACUAGCCUACGACGGGUACGGGUUGUGAGAGCAAGAGCCCGGAGAUGGAUUCUGAGACACGAAUCCAGGCCCUACGGGGUGCAGCAGGCGCGAAAACUUUACAAUGCUGGCAACAGCGAUAAGGGAACCUCGAGUGCCAGGUUACAAAUCUGGCUGUCGAGAUGCCUAAAAAGCAUUUCAUAGCAAGGGCCGGGCAAGACCGGUGCCAGCCGCCGCGGUAACACCGGCGGCUCGAGUGGUAACCGUUAUUAUUGGGUCUAAAGGGUCUGUAGCCGGCCGGAUAAGUCUCUUGAGAAAUCUGGCAGCUUAACUGUCAGGCUUUCAGGAGAUACUGUCUGGCUCGAGGCCGGGAGAGGUGAGAGGUACUUCAGGGGUAGGGGUGAAAUCUUGUAAUCCUUGAAGGACCACCAGUGGCGAAGGCGUCUCACCAGAACGGACCUGACGGCAAGGGACGAAAGCUAGGGGCACGAACCGGAUUAGAUACCCGGGUAGUCCUAGCCGUAAACGAUACUCGCUAGGUGUCGGCCACGGUGCGACCGUUGUCGGUGCCGUAGGGAAGCCGUGAAGCGAGCCACCUGGGAAGUACGGCCGCAAGGCUGAAACUUAAAGGAAUUGGCGGGGGAGCACCACAACGGGUGGAGCUUGCGGUUUAAUUGGAUUCAACGCCGGAAAUCUUACCGGGACCGACAGCAAUAUGAAGGCCAGGCUGAAGACUUUGCCGGAUUAGCUGAGAGGUGGUGCAUGGCCGUCGUCAGUUCGUACUGUGAAGCAUCCUGUUAAGUCAGGCAACGAGCGAGACCCAA
Molecule: ribosomal RNA, 1047 nt
Filed under: uncultured archaeon
Lineage: Archaea
Description: bacterial SSU rRNA
Rfam family: Archaeal small subunit ribosomal RNA
Source: RNAcentral